AAUGAUAGAAGAAAUGAGAUCCUUAUUCACAGUUACAAUACUAAGUGCUGGUGAUAAUUUCAAGAAAAAUGACAAACUGAGUCCAAAGCAUGAAAGUUGAAAAGCUGCAAUAGAGAGGAACCACAAUUGGAAAAAUACUGGGAGGCUGGGAAUGAGGAUUUCUCAGCUUUAUCCCUACUUCUGCUAAUCAAAUGUGACCAUCACCUAGGCACUCUCUGUCUGGAAGCCAAUGGGAAGUUUUGCUAUGACUUAUCUAGGUUUUGCCUCAUAUUCCUGAAGCAUUUGGCUUAGCUUCUUUUCAGUUUUGGCUACUGAGCUCUGGUCAGCAAGAACUUUAUUUUUCAGGUGUCACCCUUUCUUUAAUUGGAAAAGCCUAUGAUGUGUGAACUACUUAAGGCAUGGUACCAUGCCUUAAUCAGCAGUUAUGCUGUAUUUGUGCAGUUGAUAUUCACAUGAAUAUUUGUGCACUAUUAUUUUAUUGUAGAUGCAAAGUAUGUUUCACGUUUGGUGAAGGAGAAGCAAAAUUCACAUUACUCUUCAAUUAUUAAACAUGAUGAUACACACUUCUAAAGCCACCACGAGAGGUGAUACACAUGCUAACUUAAUGCUUGAGGGAUAACAAGAUAUCUAAUAAGCCUUUUGUUUGCAUAUAGGAGUAAAAUUACUGUAGAUGUCACAGGAAAACACAUUGUAAAUUUGAACCUCAGCAUUUAGCCCUAAACAAAACAGGGGGGAGAUCAUCUUAUGUAUAUCCAGAAGUAAUAUUACAUGUGCUGUGUAAUGGAAAUGCUGAGUCGUGACCUGAAGCAGUGAUGGAGCACCUGGUGGGAAGCUCAGGUGUACUGCAAUGCAAUGCACCUGUGUGAUUGGAAGGAGUAGAGCCAGGAUCCACCCCCUCCCAGACCUCAUUUAAGGGUUGGCAGUGCAGGUAAGGGUAUCUCAGUGGAGAACCUUGCAUUCCUAAGGCCUUCUGGAGCUUCAGCAGAUAAAAGAACAUGAUUCUUAAACAUCAGAGAAUCACCCCAGGGAAGGCAAAUGCCAGCUGUAUGUAAACUCAGAACAGUGACAGAUCUACCUUGUGGCUGGCAGAGCUGAGAAGUUACCUGGCAUGUCUGUGUACUUCAUAGAACAACAGGGUUCAUUAUUGAGUCAGUUCCAUUUAACUUUAGCAGCUUGAGCUGUCAAGAGUGGCUGUAGCAGACAUGAUAUUGGACACACACCCUGAGAUUGGAUCCUGCACGGCCUUUUAAAAGCUGUCAAAGAAGAGCUAUUUGAGCAAGGAUUUGCCUCAGCUAUUCAAUUUAGUGAAGUGAGAGUCAGCUGUAGUUUUACUUUAUUGAAUGCUGUAGAUCUUACUCAUCACCUAAUUCAUUUUCACAGGCAGACAUUCACCAGCUCAAGUCACUUAGGAAUAUAAAGACAUUCCUGAGAAGACUGUAUUACCAGCACAUCACAGCCACUGUUUAGUACUGUAAACUUUACUCAUUCUCAAUCUGCUUAAGAUCAAGCUUAGGUAGCACCUUAUUAGCUUUCUACUCAUCCACUGAAAGUUAUUAGAUUUACAUGUCAAGAAGUUGCCUGCAUCAGUUUUUUCCUCCACGUGCUGUUUUCUCAAGCCAUGCCAGCCCUAGUGUGAGAAAAAAUACAACUAUUUGUACAAGAAAGCAAUCAUUUAAGUAUGUUUUGUCCUCAUAAGAACUCUAAUAAGGGAAAUAAAAUAACUGCCAUGGCUGCCUUUACUAACUACAGCCAUCAGCUGGAUGAAAACAGGUAUUCAAAAGAAGUUUUUUCUUGUUACUUGAGCUUAAACAAGAUAUUGAGUAUCUGCUAUCAUUCUGCCUUUCCCGGAUAGGCUGCUUAAUCUGUAAUAAGAUAAACAGUCCUUUUUGACUCCCUUCUAAAAUGGAAAUACACCAAAAUGGCACAAUCAACUGCAGAUAUUCACUUAUGAGACAGAAUGAGAGAAUGAAUUCUAUUAAAAGUAUCCAGUAGAAAACAUUUUGAUAAUGCGUGGGAGUUUAUUAUUUACGAUUUCAUUGGCUCCCGGUUUGUUCCUUAUCUGAAAUUGUGUAUCUUUGUCACAUCAACUAUUUUAAGAAAAAUGGUAACUUUAGUGCUAAGAUAUACUAUAACAAUUGGCAUUUGGCACUUAAAAAAAAAAUCUUUACUUAGAUGCCAGCAAAACAGAAGAUGAAUACAAGCAAAAAGAUAACAUGAAGCUAGAAUCAUUUCUGAAGCAUGAGUAAGGACAUCACUUUUCUAAGAAAGUAAAGAAUAAGUAGAGAUGUUAUCUAAAUUGAUUCUAAAGGAGCA
This is a long non-coding RNA of Phasianus colchicus (ring-necked pheasant), 2313 nucleotides long. RefSeq lists it as uncharacterized. The record is from RefSeq and is a predicted model, not a curated record. NCBI's taxonomy places the organism in Eukaryota, Metazoa, Chordata, Aves, Galliformes, Phasianidae.